ACGGUGAGUACACGUUGAACCUGCCCCAAAGUGAGGAAUAAGCCACCGAAAGGUGGUCUAAUACUUCAUAAUAUCCAUCUCGUAUGGAUUAAAGCUUUAUGCGCUUUGGGAGGGGCCUGCGUAACAUUAGCUUGUUGGUGAGGUAAAAGCUCACCAAGGCUUCGAUGUUUAACUGGUUUGAGAGGAUGACCAGUCACACUGGGACUGAGAUACGGCCCAGACUCCUACGGGAGGCAGCAGUAAGGAAUCUUCCACAAUGGGGCAACCCUGAUGGAGCAAUACCGCGUGCAGGAUGAAGCGUUUCGGCGUGUAAACUGCUUUUAUCACCGAAGAUUAUGACUGUAGGUGAAGAAUAAGGACCGGCUAACUACGUG
Molecule: ribosomal RNA, 374 nt
Filed under: uncultured bacterium
Lineage: Bacteria
Description: bacterial SSU rRNA
Rfam family: Bacterial small subunit ribosomal RNA
Source: RNAcentral